ACUAAAAAUGUUUUCAACCUCUUUCCAAAGUGCAGGGCAUGUAUGAGAAUGCUCUAAAUGGGUUUAAAACGAUGUGCUGCAGGUGCAAGUAAAACAAAGCAUCACACAGAACAUUCUAGACUUCAGUGGGCGGAGCCACAAAGGACAGCCCCUCCCCCCUCGUGGUUUAUUACCUCACACUCGCCUUAUUGUCUGCCCACUUCUCCACUGCCAGGGAACCGCUGCCUUCAAUACGGUUGCUAAGCAAUCGUAACCAUAGCAGACUCAGUCCUUACCUCUAGUGAAUUCUGCUAUCUCCCUCAUCCCCUCCCCAACUUCAUACUUUUUUUGUUGACACCAGGCCUCUCCUUUGAAGCGGCAUGUAUAAAAGACAUUAUUAAAAUUUAAGGAAGGAAGAGGGGGAAGAAUCAAAGAUGACAGAAUAACCAGAUCCUUCGGGGAUUUCGCAUAUUUUCAUGAUUUAUUAUACUGUUCAUGUUGUCAGGUUUAGAACGAUUUUUUCCAAGAUGUUAAAUUGGUUGGUAAAAGCAGUAGCACAGCCAAACCAUCAAUUAUAAUAUUGUGGGCAGUGAUGUUGUUGCCUGGGCUUGGAUUCAAACGACAUUUUUCCAUAGCUUUCACUCAAUCCUGGAUUCGAUACACAUCAUUUUUAACAAUAAAAUGCAGGUAAUAGUUUGUUCCCCAUCACACAUCAAAACAAUUUGGCGAGUUAAGUCGUACAGACUAAACUCUAAAUUCACAACAGUUUCUUGUGAAGAACAAAAACUUGUACUGUUGUUUACAGGCAGGUGUGUACCUGUACUGCUGUUAAUAGACAGGUGUGUCCUUGUACUGAUGUUUACAGAUCGGUGUGUACUUGUACUGAUGUUUACAGACAGGUCUGUGGUUGUACUGCUGUUUACAGACAGGUUUGUGCUUGUACUGCUGUUAAUAGACAGGUGUGUACUGGUACUGCUGUUAAUAGACAGGUGUGCACUGGUGCUGCUGUUCACAGACAGGCUUAAUCAGCCCUGCAUUGGCAUGACUGGCCUCUCACUAGACGCUCUUUCUGUGAAUCACAUUAUGAAUUCUUAGUGGAAUUACAGAAUAAAAACUCCAUCUGUUCGUAAUAACUUGUAAUUUCUGUUUUGAUUGCUUUUGAUGAGAAUCCGUGCUUGGAGAUCCGUCUGACUGCACGGUCCGAUUGUUCUGUUUGGAGAUGUUUUUCUUCCAUUAAUCCUAUACGAAAAUAAAUGAACAAAAAACUUCCCAA
Anguilla anguilla (European eel) is the source of this 1252-nucleotide long non-coding RNA. RefSeq lists it as uncharacterized. The record is from RefSeq and is a predicted model, not a curated record. NCBI's taxonomy places the organism in Eukaryota, Metazoa, Chordata, Actinopteri, Anguilliformes, Anguillidae. The transcript has 2 exons.